RNAcentral lists this ribosomal RNA (413 nucleotides) under uncultured bacterium. RNAcentral's name for it is "bacterial SSU rRNA". It matches the Rfam family "Bacterial small subunit ribosomal RNA", at positions 369 to 775 of the family's 1533-position model. The record is from RNAcentral.
CAAUGGGCGAAAGCCUGACGGAGCAACGCCGCGUGAUCGAAUGAAGGCCUUCGGGUUGUAAAGAUCUGUUGACAGGGACGAAUAAGCAAUGCGAAUAGUUUUGUGUAUGACGGUACCUGUUUAGAAAGCUCCGGCUAACUACGUGCCAGCAGCCGCGGUAAUACGUAGGUGGCAAGCGUUAUCCGGAAUUAUUGGGCGUAAAGCGCGCGUAGGCGGUUUCUUAAGUCUGAUGUGAAAGCCCACGGCUCAACCGUGGAGGGUCAUUGGAAACUGGGGAACUUGAGUGCAGAAGAGGAGAGUGGAAUUCCAUGUGUAGCGGUGAAAUGCGCAGAGAUAUGGAGGAACACCAGUGGCGAAGGCGGCUCUCUGGUCUGUAACUGACGCUGAUGUGCGAAAGCGUGGGGAUCAAACAG